UCCCGGUUAACCCGGGCAGUCUCGCUAGAGUGCCCACCAUUACGUGCUGGCAACUAACGACAAGGGUUGCGCUCGUUGCGGGACUUAACCCAACACCUCACGGCACGAGCUGACGACAGCCAUGCAGCACCUGUGCAAUUGUCUCUUGCGAGAACAGAACAUUUCUGCUCCUGUCAACUGCAUGUCAAAUCCAGGUAAGGUUCUUCGCGUUGCAUCGAAUUAAACCACAUGCUCCACUGCUUGUGCGGGUCCCCGUCAAUUCUUUUGAGUUUCACCCUUGCGAGUGUACUUCCCAGGCGGUAUACUUAUCGCGUUUGCUUCGGCACAGUCGGGGUUGAGUCCAACUACGCCAAGUAUACAUCGUUUAAGGCAAGGACUAC
Molecule: unclassified non-coding RNA, 380 nt
Filed under: uncultured Chlamydiales bacterium
Lineage: Bacteria; Pseudomonadati; Chlamydiota; Chlamydiia; Chlamydiales
Description: contains 16S-23S intergenic spacer region
Source: RNAcentral